Molecule: ribosomal RNA, 421 nt
Filed under: uncultured bacterium
Lineage: Bacteria
Description: bacterial SSU rRNA
Rfam family: Bacterial small subunit ribosomal RNA
Source: RNAcentral
GGGCCCGCACAAGCGGUGGAGCAUGUGGUUUAAUUCGAUGAUACGCGAGGAACCUUACCAGGGCUUAAAUGUUAGGUGACAGAUCUAGAAAUAGAUUUUUCUUCGGACACUUAACAAGGUGCUGCAUGGUUGUCGUCAGCUCGUGCCGUGAGGUGUCAGGUUAAGUCCUAUAACGAGCGCAACCCCUGUUGUUAGUUGCCAGCGAGUAAUGUCGGGAACUCUAGCAAGACUGCCAGUGCAAACUGUGAGGAAGGUGGGGAUGACGUCAAAUCAUCACGGCCCUUACGUCCUGGGCUACACACGUGCUACAAUGGUAGGUACAGAGAGCAGCCAAUGCGCGAGCAUGAGCGAAUCUACAAAACCUAUCUCAGUUCAGAUCGUAGGCUGCAACUCGCCUACGUGAAGGAGGAAUCGCUAGUAA